Molecule: long non-coding RNA, 1751 nt
Organism: Triticum aestivum (bread wheat)
Lineage: Eukaryota; Viridiplantae; Streptophyta; Magnoliopsida; Poales; Poaceae
Exons: 4
Source: RefSeq, a predicted model, not a curated record
CCAGCCCUCAAUCGAGCCGUAAGUGAACCAAAAGUACUUUGGUAAAUAUAUCCUGUUUUUAUCUGAGAUCAAUAACCGAGACAUUUAGAUAUAUUAAAACCGAGCACCCUCCCAGCCCUCUCAGCCCAUUAGCAUUUCUAGCCGUUCGAUUUCAUGUGCUAAACGUCCCUAGCCGAUAGAUCUUCCUUCAAUAUGAUUUUUCUCGCAAGGCGGGCUGGCCGUCCUAAAGGGCAGCUAUUCCCGUAGCUUUUUUGGCCCACUGUGGUUAACUGGGCUGAUAUUUGGUUUCCCGGCCCAUAUCUCCGCCUCGACUCGUGAUGCCAAUCUCUCUGCCUCGACUCCUCCUCUCCCCAACUAAAAAAAACUCCUCUCCCCGACGUCUUCUCUUCUGUCCGCCUGCAGGGCUUGCGCCCGCACGCGCUUGACCGCCGGCGGGUGAAGGAGUCGGCGCCGGAUCCGGCGGCUUGUCGCCGCGCUUAUGGAUCCAGACCGCAUCCAUCGCGACUGGGUGGUGCCUGCGGGCCCAUCUCGAUUCCCGCCGCUGUCACCGACCCAGGCCUCCGGCGUCGACCUCAAUUCCUUUCUGUUCCUCCCCAUCAAGCAGGUCGUCACGCUUCACUAACAUUGACCUCGAGCGGCAGAGCCGUCCCCCGACCUCAAUCUCCAGUGGCAGCGUCCAGCACAUCCAGCCAUAUUGUCCACCGGCGGCGCCACCAGAUUCUCCCGCGACCUCAACCUCAUGUGGCAUCGUCUAUCAUAUUCAUAUCUAGCCAUAUCGUCCGCCGGUGGUGCCACCAGAUUCAGCGUCCACAUGUGCGGUGCGAUUGCCGUCCUAGAUGGCUUCCGCACAUCCAUGCCUUGCCUACAGCCUACAGGUACAACCAGCCUUUCCCCGUUCCAAUAUGCCUAGGCUAGAGAUGGAGGCCUUUCCCCAUGCGAGAAUAACCCAAGACAUGGCUAUGGUUAUGGUAGAUACACUGGAUUUAAUAUGUGAGUUCCAUAGUAUACAUAUUUUUUCUACUUGUCCUAGGUAUUCCAAAUAAAUUCAGAAUUCUCUUAUUUAUUUUAUGUAUGGUUUAAUUGCUUUUCGAAGUGCACAUUGUAUGUUGGUGAUACGUUUUUAAUUGAAUUCUUUCUCUUUUAGACUUUUACUGGAUUGAGCAGAACAAAAAAGAAUAAACGUUUUUGUUUAGUUUAUAAUAGAGAAAGGAACUUGGAAGGCGAUUCAGUUUUGUCAUAGGAAUUGAUGCUAAGUAUCUUGUGCAUUUAACUUUGAGGGGAAACCUCACCCAUACAAAUUCAAGAAUCAAUUAUCUAACCAGGUUUACUAAACAUCUAUGCAUUUCUCUUAUUUACUUUGCAUAUUCAUUACUAUUUUGUGAUUUGGUUGUGAUAACCAAUGGGAGGAAGGAGAAGAUCGCCUCCAGCAUGCCGAGACCUCAAGGCAACUCAAGAGCAGAUCGCCAAUGGAAGCUACACCAUCCUGCUCCAGCCGGAUCUGGAGGCCGGCGCACCAUGAUUCACCAAGGGCACCGUCGUGAGGUUCGUGCAGCACACUGGAGGUUUGGGAGCGCGUGAUGACCAUCAUGUCCAGGAUACUGCAGCUCGAGGACACCAUAGCCGUCCAGAGCAAUGAUAUCUUGGAUUGAAAUCUGCAGAAGGCCACGAUAGGAAACCGGUUAACUCCGUGGAAGUACAUCCUCUCCUCCUCUGAUGUUGAUGUGAAAUCUCCUUCUACAAGGUAACUAGAC